CGGUAAUUCCAGCUCCAAUAGCGUAUACUAAAGUUGUUGCAGCUAAAAAGCUCGUAGUUGGAUUUCUGCGGGGACGGAGCGGCCGGUCGCAACUUGCGACUCGAGCUAGCGCUUUCCCCGCAUCCUGCCGCGAACCGUGCUACCAUUAGCUUGGUGGCGCUGGGGAUCGGCUCGAUUACUUUGAGAAAAAUAGAGUGUUCAAAGCAGGCCACACGCCUUGAAUAAGUUAGCAUGGAAUAAUGACUAAGGACUUCGGUUCUAUUUUGUUGGUGUUCGGGACUGAAGUAAUGAUUGAUAGGGACAGUUGGGGCGGUCUGUAUUCCAAAGCGAGAGGUGAAAUUCUUAGACCUUCGGAAGACAAACAGCUGCGAAAGCGUUCCGCAAGGAUGUUCCCUUUGAUCAAGAACGAAAGUUGGGGGAUCGAAGACGAUCAGAUACCGUCGUAGUCUCAACUAUAAACUAUACCAGCUAGGGAUCGGUCAACGUUUAAUCAUUCGACUUGAUCGGCACCUUAUGAGAAAUCAAAGCAUCUGGGUUCCGGGGGGAGUAUGGUCGCAAGGCUGAAACUUAAAGGAAUUGACGGAAGGGCACCACCAGCCGUGGAGCCUGUGGCUUAAUUUGACUCAACACGGGAAAACUUACCAGGUCCAGACAUAGUAAGGAUUGACAGAUUGAUAGCUCUUUCUUGAUUCUGUGGGUGGUGGUGCAUGGCCGUUCUUAGUUGGUGGAGUGAUUUGUCUGGUUAAUUCCGUUAACGAACGAGACCCCAGCCUGCUAAAUAGCGCGGCUGAGCUUUGCUCGGUGCGAGCUUCUUAGAGGGACUAUGAUGCGCGAUAGCACAUGGAAGUUUGGGGCAAUAACAGGUCUGUGAUGCCCUUAGAUGUUCUGGGCCGCACACGGGCUACACUGGCGCCUGCAACGAGCAUAUCAGCUGGCCCGAGAGGGUCUUGGCUAAUCUUUUGAACCGGCGCCGUGCUUGGGAUUGACCAUUGCAAUUGUUGGUCAUGCAACGAGGAAUGCCUUGUAAACGCGAGUCAUCAGCUCGCAUUGAAUACGUCCCUGCCCUUUGUACACACCGCCCGUCGCUCCUACCGAUGAAUGUUCCGAUGAAAUUUUCGGAGAGCGCCAGAGAACGGGGCUCUGCCUUGCAGAUCUGGAGGCUCAAAGUCACUUAAAUCUGAACAUUUCGAGGAAGGAGAAGUCGUAACAAGGUAACC
RNAcentral lists this ribosomal RNA (1217 nucleotides) under uncultured Rhizaria. RNAcentral describes it as "SSU rRNA". It matches the Rfam family "Eukaryotic small subunit ribosomal RNA", at positions 577 to 1804 of the family's 1831-position model. The record is from RNAcentral.